Molecule: long non-coding RNA, 236 nt
Filed under: Olea europaea (common olive)
Lineage: Eukaryota; Viridiplantae; Streptophyta; Magnoliopsida; Lamiales; Oleaceae
Description: long non-coding RNA (OEUR_LNC006235)
Source: RNAcentral
UCUCGACAAAUUAAACAUCAAUCACUUGAAUUAUUUCAGGUCAUUCCAACUGGUUCCGUCGCCCUAUGCUAAAAAUAAUAAUAAUAGGAAAAUCGUUUGGGGGAAAGUAGAUUGCCAAAUUAAAAUAUUGUUCAUUAGUGUAUAUUCCUCUAAACAAUAAAGGUUCAGUAGUGCAAUAUCAAUACAAAAUUAGGCAUAUUUCUAAUCAGAAAUGUAGCAAAGAACUCAAAGAUGUC